Long non-coding RNA from Puntigrus tetrazona (Sumatra barb), 383 nucleotides. RefSeq lists it as uncharacterized. The record is from RefSeq and is a predicted model, not a curated record. NCBI's taxonomy places the organism in Eukaryota, Metazoa, Chordata, Actinopteri, Cypriniformes, Cyprinidae. The transcript is spliced from 8 exons.
GAAGGAGACAUUAAUACUCACCAAUCAUUCAAUUUGUUACGAUUUGCUAGCACCAGUUUGAAGCCCACACAGAAUUUUGCUUUAAUUCUUCAUGAUAUAUAUUUUAAAAGUAAACAAUAUCAAGACGAGCUGAAAAAAACAAGAAAUGAACUGGAAGAAUACAAGAAGAACAGUCAAGCAAGUGAAAAUCGAUACAAAGAGCAGCUGGAACGAAAUAGAGAUGAACUCAAGCAGUGCAAGGCAAAUUUUCACUAUCAACUCCAAGCAUGUGAAUAUCAAUACAAACAGCAGCUGAAAAAAAUAAGUGAAUAUCAAUAUACAGAGGAUCUGAAACUAUACAAAGAGGAGCUGAAACGAAAAAGUCAGGAACUGGAACACUACAA